Molecule: ribosomal RNA, 465 nt
Filed under: uncultured bacterium
Lineage: Bacteria
Description: partial 16S ribosomal RNA
Rfam family: Bacterial small subunit ribosomal RNA
Source: RNAcentral
CCUACGGGAGGCAGCAGUAGGGAAUCUUCCACAAUGGACGAAAGUCUGAUGGAGCAACGCCGCGUGAGUGAAGAAGGGUUUCGGCUCGUAAAGCCCUGUUGGUAGUGAAGAAAGAUAGAGGUAGUAACUGGCCUUUCUUUGCCGGUAAUUACUUAGAAAGUCCCGGCUAACUACGUGCCAGCAGCCGCGGUAAUACGUAGGUGGCAAGCGUUGUCCGGAUUUAUUGGGCGUAAAGCGAGUGCAGGCGGUUCAAUAAGUCUGAUGUGAAAGCCUUCGGCUCAACCGGAGAAUUGCAUCAGAAACUGUUGAACUUGAGUGCAGAAGAGGAGAGUGGAACUCCAUGUGUAGCGGUGGAAUGCGUAGAUAUAUGGAAGAACACCAGUGGCGAAGGCGGCUCUCUGGUCUGCAACUGACGCUGAGGCUCGAAAGCAUGGGUAGCGAACAGGAUUAGAUACCCUUGUAGUC